This 360-nucleotide ribosomal RNA is filed under the name uncultured bacterium. Its description in RNAcentral is "partial 16S ribosomal RNA". It matches the Rfam family "Bacterial small subunit ribosomal RNA", at positions 338 to 695 of the family's 1533-position model. The record is from RNAcentral.
CCUACGGGAGGCAGCAGUGAGGAAUAUUGGUCAAUGGACGGAAGUCUGAACCAGCCAAGCCGCGUGAAGGACGAAGGCGCUAAGAGUUGUAAACUUCUUUUGUCAAGGGAUAAAAGCAGGCACGAGAGCCUGACUGAGGGUACUGUACGAAUAAGGAUCGGCUAACUCCGUGCCAGCAGCCGCGGUAAUACGGAGGAUUCGAGCGUUAUCCGGAUUUAUUGGGUUUAAAGGGUGCGUAGGCGGGGGGGUAAGUUAGGGGUGAAAUCCCGGGGCUCAACUUCGGAAGUGCCUUUGAUACUGUCCGUCUUGAGAGUAGUAGAGGUAGGCGGAAUGCGUAGUGUAGCGGUGAAAUGCUUAGAG